GGAUGCGAUCAUACUAGCACUAAUGCACCGGAUCCCAUCAGAACUCCGAAGUUAAGCGUGUUUGGGCGAGGGUAGUACUAGGAUGGGUGACCCCCUGGGAAGUCCUCGUGUUGCAUCCC
Ipomoea nil (Japanese morning glory) is the source of this 119-nucleotide ribosomal RNA. The record is from Rfam. NCBI's taxonomy places the organism in Eukaryota, Viridiplantae, Streptophyta, Magnoliopsida, Solanales, Convolvulaceae.